Homo sapiens (human) is the source of this 331-nucleotide long non-coding RNA. RefSeq lists it as uncharacterized. NCBI's taxonomy places the organism in Eukaryota, Metazoa, Chordata, Mammalia, Primates, Hominidae. The record is from RefSeq and is a predicted model, not a curated record. The transcript is spliced from 2 exons.
GUGCCACUGCUAUCUGUUCUGAGGUUCACUCUGUUCAGCAGCCUUGGACUCUUCAUGGAGUAACAGAUUGGUAUAACUACAGCCUUGAGCCUCACUUGAACCACCACAGCCUCUUCUGAACAGCCAGCAGUCCUUGAAGUCUCAGAGUCUUUUAACCAAAGGGUACUGCACCAGGGAAGAGGUGGUCAUCAACUAUGAAGGAAUCCAGACCUUUAAUCCUGUAGAGCUUCCAAGUAAGGAUAAUGGGUCAACUACAACCUUCUUCCUAGGAUAUGUCGACGUGCACGGCAUUAGGAAAAUCUGCUCUUUAAAUUAAAAUACAAACUCAUGA